RNAcentral lists this ribosomal RNA (515 nucleotides) under Enterococcus faecium. RNAcentral describes it as "bacterial SSU rRNA". It matches the Rfam family "Bacterial small subunit ribosomal RNA", at positions 827 to 1343 of the family's 1533-position model. The record is from RNAcentral. Lineage: Bacteria; Bacillati; Bacillota; Bacilli; Lactobacillales; Enterococcaceae.
AGGGUUUCCGCCCUUCAGUGCUGCAGCUAACGCAUUAAGCACUCCGCCUGGGGAGUACGACCGCAAGGUUGAAACUCAAAGGAAUUGACGGGGGCCCGCACAAGCGGUGGAGCAUGUGGUUUAAUUCGAAGCAACGCGAAGAACCUUACCAGGUCUUGACAUCCUUUGACCACUCUAGAGAUAGAGCUUCCCCUUCGGGGGCAAAGUGACAGGUGGUGCAUGGUUGUCGUCAGCUCGUGUCGUGAGAUGUUGGGUUAAGUCCCGCAACGAGCGCAACCCUUAUUGUUAGUUGCCAUCAUUCAGUUGGGCACUCUAGCAAGACUGCCGGUGACAAACCGGAGGAAGGUGGGGAUGACGUCAAAUCAUCAUGCCCCUUAUGACCUGGGCUACACACGUGCUACAAUGGGAAGUACAACGAGUUGCGAAGUCGCGAGGCUAAGCUAAUCUCUUAAAGCUUCUCUCAGUUCGGAUUGCAGGCUGCAACUCGCCUGCAUGAAGCCGGAAUCGCUGUAUCG